AAAUUCAAAAAACCCAUAGCAAUAGAGAGUAUACUACAAGAUUUCCAUAACCCUGACAAAUAAACUUAGCCACUCAUGAAUAAAAUGGAAAUCACAAUAGAAAUAUUCAUCAUACCAAAACUUAGAAAGAUCUUGGUGGAGAAGAUGAAUAGGGAAAAUAAGAGAGUAAAACAUUUCUCUCUUUCUCCUCAAGCUAAGCCGCUUUCUCUUGUUUUCAAAAUAAUACCAAAUAAUGAAUAAUCCCUAAAAAUUCAGCCAUAAGGCUUUUAAUAACAUCCUUCUCUAAUAAAUUGCUACUGCAUCCUUAACUAUUUAAAAAUAUUGAGUUUGCCCGGGAAAAAGUUCCCAUAUAUCACAUUCAGUCCAAAAGCUACUUUCCUUUUAUGUGAAGUUUCCUUUGCUAUCCACAGGUCUCCAAAGUGUUGUAAUCUUCCUCAUUAGUACCUGAAAAGCAUUCUAAUCACAUAGGUCAACUCACUUAACUAAAAAUAGACAAAGUGCAAGAAUUAUGUAUUUUAUCCUCAAAACUUAGCUAACACAUGGGUUAGUUAUGGUGCUUAGACAUAUAAUACUCCCAACAUCAUUGACCAAAUAAUUUAAUCCAUAGUAUUGAACAUUUAGAAAUCACCUAUGUGAGGGUAAAGUGGAAACUGCUUCAAGGAGAAUGUUAGCAAAGGCCUAUUCUCUAAGAUCUCAUGAAACUGGGACGUGUUCAUGGUUGAAAAGAACAAAACCAUGAGAAUCAUAAAUGGUAAAAGGAUUAUUUUCUGACAUGUGUUGUCUAGGUGUACACUAGAGCUCGAUGGUUCAAAGAUAUCAAAUCUACUGGUUGACCGAGUGCAUCCGAUACAUGUUCACUACGGAAAGUUCAAAGGGAAACCCACUUAUCCAAAUGCAAUCAGUCUUUGCUUGAUGAUCACAUACUUGUCCGUUAAAAGUUUUAAGAAAAAUAGCCAUUUCCCAUUCAUGUGGGGGAUUGUUGGGUUCAAAGAAUAUGAAAAAAUAUGAAUGAAAAAUGAAGGCCAUUUUAUCCUAGGAGGAAGAUUCCAAAACCUCGAGUACAAUGAGGGGAAUUAUUCCUUAAGGACACUCUGUGAAUUUGAAAGACUUGGUCUUAAAUUGUGUUUCAUCUCUUUUCUAAAUCUUAACACACUUCUUAGAUAGAUUAUUCAUAAUCUAGUGUUGAAGGCGUUACAAAACUUCAUAAGUGUUCUUGUAUUAGACUUGAACUAGUGUUGAAGUUUGUGUUUCUUAUUUACAGAUUCUUGUACCCAAAUACAUAUAAGAUAACAUGAAUCUCUGCUCAUUUAACACAAGUACAUGAAGCUUUGUUCUAUUGAUCACAAGUACAUGAAGCCUAGUUCUAUUUAUGAGUGGUUGGUCCAACCGAACUGUAUGAUUCUACAGCAAUACGAUUGCAAAAUUCGAUGAUUGGCUUCUUUAUCUAUAUUCAUUAUCAACACUUUGGACGUAGAAAUCUAUUUUUAGGAUUUCAUAACAAUUAAGAAAAAAGUAACAUUAAAACUUUUAUGUGCUAACAACUCUCAUAAUUUUGACUUAUGGACAUUAAUUUUCCAUCAAAAAGCAGGAAAAGAAUUAUUAAAACAAAGGGGAAAAAAGAUGAUAAAAGCACCAAUAAUGAUUGAAAUUUAAAUCAACAAGCUCUAUGUUUAGGAAAAGUUUUUAUGUGUGAUUGUACUUACUACAACACCCUCUUAUGCUUUCUAUUUUUGAAAAAAAAAACUUUACUCAAAGGGCAGCCUAGUGCAUUAAAUAUUCCUCUAUGCACAGGGGGGAAUUCUUUCACUAGGUAUGUUGUUGUUAUUAAGUCAUUUAUCUCCGGUUAAUCCUAUGUUCUACACAAUAACUCAGUUAAAAAUAUCUACCUUGCAUGCAAGUGACUCUUUAUCUUGGGAUCAGUUUCACAAAGUCUAGUAAAAGGCUACGAAUGACAUAUUCGGAGAACAAUUAAGAAUAAAAUGACAAUUCUCACAGUUCAGGCAAAGUAAGUAACCUGAUCUAAAAUAUAACAUUCACGAAUAAGAGGAACGACAAGAAAGUCUUCAAUCAAUUGUUCUUUUAAAUUCCUUAAUUCCCUUUCUAUUUCUGAAAGUCCCUCAGAAUCCUUUAUCAAAGAAAAUCAAUGAAAGAAUCUAAAUAGUCAAAGCAAACCCAAGAAAACAGAAGUGUGAGGUCUAAGAAGUCAUACCUGUUCUUUUCUCUUUAUGUAAUAUACUAUAUAUUGGAAAUUGAUACAUUAGAAAGAAUCAGGGUGUACAUGGUGAGUGGAUGUAGCAAAAGGAGUGGUCCUUCCUCUCUCAGAAGGUGGACAAAAGCUUGCUAUACAUGCUUCCAGUGUAGCAAAGCAGCAGGCAUUAUUUUCCUUUGGUGCAUUUUCUCCUAAACUCUAAAUUUUUUCAACAUUUAAGAUCUAUAUUCCACUGUUACUAAUAUGUCCAAACUGAAUGGUCUAUAAAAUGGCAAAAUUGAUAUUGACGGACAUUUAAUAACGAAAUUGCAAGUUUCCUAACUAUAGGAAGAUAUUAGGCAUAUGGUGUUAGGACAUAGUCUUAUCUCGCAUUUGUUAUACAGGUUUCUAUCACCUAUCCAAUAAAAGAAGGAAGUCUAAUUUCCA
This 2635-nucleotide long non-coding RNA is filed under the name Capsicum annuum. RNAcentral's name for it is "long non-coding RNA (CANN_LNC014806)". The record is from RNAcentral. Lineage: Eukaryota; Viridiplantae; Streptophyta; Magnoliopsida; Solanales; Solanaceae.